Rhipicephalus microplus (southern cattle tick) is the source of this 464-nucleotide long non-coding RNA. Lineage: Eukaryota; Metazoa; Arthropoda; Arachnida; Ixodida; Ixodidae. The record is from RefSeq and is a predicted model, not a curated record.
ACAGGCAAUCAAGAAGUCCAUGGGCCGCUUACCAGCCAGCGGCCGGGUCGUGGGCAUCUCGGUACGUUUCGCCGCAGAACGCCGACGCUGGUCGCCGAAAUUACUACUACAGUAGCAGAUACCCAAGCGGAAACAGCUACCAUUCAGGAUACGGCGUUCCCAACGUCCCUGGUCCGUCUGGCUACCGUACGCAGAGCUACGGAUACCCACGGUCAGGUGCCCACCCAGCGCCGACCCGUCAUCCUCAAGGACGAUAAAGGGCGGAGCCGUCCUGUGCUUGGACCCCAACCUCCACAGACGUGGAGACGUGGACGAAGGGAACGAUCCUGGCUUGAAGGGCCACCCGGCCAGAAAAUUAUAGUAGUACCGAGGCACUGAGGGGCAGAUGUUUUCAUUAGAUGUUGGUGUAUAUUAAAAAAAUUAACAGCUUCGCACUCGUAGUGCCAAGCUGUCUUCCUUUUGCA